RNAcentral lists this transfer RNA (73 nucleotides) under Tissierellia bacterium. Its description in RNAcentral is "tRNA-OTHER". It matches the Rfam family "tRNA". Rfam says of the family: Transfer RNA (tRNA) molecules are approximately 80 nucleotides in length. Their secondary structure includes four short double-helical elements and three loops (D, anti-codon, and T loops). Further hydrogen bonds mediate the characteristic L-shaped molecular structure. tRNAs have two regions of fundamental functional importance: the anti-codon, which is responsible for specific mRNA codon recognition, and the 3' end, to which the tRNAs corresponding amino acid is attached (by aminoacyl-tRNA synthetases). tRNAs cope with the degeneracy of the genetic code in two manners: having more than one tRNA (with a specific anti-codon) for a particular amino acid; and 'wobble' base-pairing, i.e. permitting non-standard base-pairing at the 3rd anti-codon position. The record is from RNAcentral. Lineage: Bacteria; Bacillati; Bacillota; Tissierellia.
GCGGAAAUCGUCUAACAUUGGCGUAGGGCACUCAAUAGAGGGAGAAAUGUAGGUUCGAAUCCUGCUUUCCGCU